This 179-nucleotide ribosomal RNA is filed under the name uncultured bacterium. RNAcentral describes it as "partial 16S ribosomal RNA". It matches the Rfam family "Bacterial small subunit ribosomal RNA", at positions 1314 to 1500 of the family's 1533-position model. The record is from RNAcentral.
GACUCCGUGAAGCUGGAUUCGCUAGUAAUCGCGCAUCAGCCAUGGCGCGGUGAAUACGUCCCCGGGCCUUGUACACACCGCCCGUCAAGCCAUGGGAGCCGGGGGUGCUUGAAGUGCGUCGCCGCAAGGCGCGCCCUAGAGCAAAACCGGUGACUGGGGCUAAGUCGUAACAAGGUAAC